RNAcentral lists this ribosomal RNA (684 nucleotides) under Triticum aestivum (bread wheat). RNAcentral's name for it is "partial small subunit ribosomal RNA". Lineage: Eukaryota; Viridiplantae; Streptophyta; Magnoliopsida; Poales; Poaceae. The record is from RNAcentral.
AUGAUGAAAAACCUGGGCAUCACUUAGGACGAUCUCGACGACGUGGUUUUCGAAGAGCAAGAUGUUCCAGCGGAAGCGGUUGUGCAUUGGAUGGCCAUCGCAAGAGUUCACACCCCAAAGAGUUACAGCCAAUAUUGGUUCUACCGCAAUAUGAGGGCUGCCUGGGAUCUGGCGCAGGAGGUAAAGAUCCGCCCGCUUGAAGAAAACCUGUACACAAUGCAAUUUGCUUGCCUCGGCGAUUGGGAACGUGUCAUGAUGGAGGGACCUUGGACCUUCAAAGGGAACGCGGUGGUACUGGCAGAGUAUGAUGGGUUCACUAAACCAUCAGAAGUUAACUUGGACAUGCUGGAUAUAUGGGCUCAAAUCCACAACUUUCCUGAUGGUUACUUCCCGAUGAUCAAAGCUCUAGCAGGGAAGAUUGGGCAGUACAUAUACGCUGAACCGAAGUCACAUGACUUCGAAGGUAAUUUUGUCCGGGUCAGGGUCAAGAUCAAUGUCCAUCGCCCUCUAAAAAAUGCAGUCUCGAAGGUGAAAGAAGGUAAAAGGAAAAUCUUGCUGGUAAAAUACGAGCGCUUACCUGACUGGUGCGCUGUCUGUGGCCACCUUGGUCAUCAAUUCAAGGAGCAUGGCGACGGUGUUCAUCCUCCUGAGGCUCUGGUCUUUAAGAAUCUUCGGGCAUCAUGA